GACGAACGCUGGCGGCGUGCCUAACACAUGCAAGUCGAACGAGGUCCAUCCUUCGGGAGAAGACCUAGUGGCGAACGGGUGAGCAACACGUGAGAAACCUGCCCCGAAGACCGGGAUAACCCUCCGAAAGGAGAGCUAAUACCGGAUGCCCCCACCGAGCCGCAUGGCUUGGUGAGGAAAUGGAUUCCGCUUCGGGAGGGUCUCGCGGCCUAUCAGCUAGUUGGUGGGGUAACGGCCCACCAAGGCAUCGACGGGUAGCUGGUCUGAGAGGACGAUCAGCCACACUGGGACUGAGACACGGCCCAGACUCCUACGGGAGGCAGCAGUGGGGAAUCUUGCGCAAUGGGCGAAAGCCUGACGCAGCAACGCCGCGUGGGGGAUGAAGGCUCUCGGGUUGUAAACCCUUUCAGCAGGGACGAAAUCAGACGGUACCUGCAGAAGAAGCUCCGGCUAACUACGUGCCAGCAGCCGCG
RNAcentral lists this ribosomal RNA (473 nucleotides) under uncultured bacterium. Its description in RNAcentral is "bacterial SSU rRNA". It matches the Rfam family "Bacterial small subunit ribosomal RNA", at positions 28 to 519 of the family's 1533-position model. The record is from RNAcentral.